This 329-nucleotide unclassified non-coding RNA is filed under the name soil metagenome. RNAcentral's name for it is "partial contains 5.8S ribosomal RNA, internal transcribed spacer 2, and large subunit ribosomal RNA". The stretch from base 1 to 120 matches the Rfam family "5.8S ribosomal RNA", at positions 35 to 154 of the family's 154-position model. The record is from RNAcentral.
GAUGAAGAACGCAGCGAAAUGCGAUAAGUAAUGUGAAUUGCAGAAUUCAGUGAAUCAUCGAAUCUUUGAACGCACAUUGCGCCCCUUGGUAUUCCGAGGGGCAUGCCUGUUCGAGCGUCAUUAUAACCCCUCAAGCUCAGCUUGGUGUUGGGGCCUGCUGCACUGGCAGCCCUUAAAAUCAGUGGCGGCGCCAUCUGGCUCUAAGCGUAGUAAUUCUUCUCGCUAUGGAGUCCUGGUGGAUGCUUGCCAUCAACCCCCAAUUUUUCUAUGGUUGACCUCGGAUCAGGUAGGGAUACCCGCUGAACUUAAGCAAAUCAAUAAGCGGAGGA